RNAcentral lists this ribosomal RNA (445 nucleotides) under uncultured bacterium. Its description in RNAcentral is "partial 16S ribosomal RNA". It matches the Rfam family "Bacterial small subunit ribosomal RNA", at positions 354 to 796 of the family's 1533-position model. The record is from RNAcentral.
GUGAGGAAUAUUGGUCAAUGGGCGCAAGCCUGAACCAGCCAUGCCGCGUGCAGGAAGACGGUCCUAUGGAUUGUAAACUGCUUUUAUUUGGGAAUAAACUCCGGUACGUGUACCGGCCUGAAGGUACCAAAUGAAUAAGCACCGGCUAACUCCAUGCCAGCAGCCGCGGUAAUACGGAGGGUGCAAGCGUUAUCCGGAAUCAUUGGGUUUAAAGGGUCCGCAGACGGUCUUAUAAGUCAGUGGUGAAAGCCUACAGAUCAACUGUAGAACUGCCAUUGAUACUGUAGGACUUGAAUUCGAUCGAAGUGGGCGGAAUGUGACAUGUAGCGGUGAAAUGCUUAGAUAUGUCACAGAACACCGAUAGCGAAGGCAGCGCACUAAGCAAAUAUUGACGCUGAGGCACGAAAGCGUGGGGAUCAAACAGGAUUAGAAACCCCUGUAGUCC